RNAcentral lists this ribosomal RNA (539 nucleotides) under Echinodera montana. RNAcentral describes it as "partial 16S ribosomal RNA". The stretch from base 387 to 539 matches the Rfam family "Bacterial large subunit ribosomal RNA", at positions 2473 to 2625 of the family's 2925-position model. Lineage: Eukaryota; Metazoa; Arthropoda; Insecta; Coleoptera; Curculionidae. The record is from RNAcentral.
GGCUUUUUGAUAAUAAUUUAAGGUCUGGCCUGCCCAAUGAUAAGUUAAAUGGCCGCGGUAUUUUGACCGUGCAAAGGUAGCAUAAUCAUUAGUUUCUUGAUUGGAAGCUUGUAUGAAGGGUUUGAUGAAAAAAGAGUUGUCUCUAUUUUAAUUUUUUAGAAAUUUAUUUUUAAGUUAAAAAGCUUAAAUUUGUAUUAAAGACGAGAAGACCCUAUAGAGUUUUAAAUUUUUAUUUAAUUAUUAUGUUUUGGGAUUAAAUUUUAAUGAUUUUAUGAAUUUUUUUGGUUGGGGUGAUAUUAAAAUUGGAUAAACUUUUUUAUGUUGUGUUUCAUUGAUUUAUGAAUUUUUGAUCCUUUUUGUAGAUUAGUAGAUAAAAUUACCUUAGGGAUAACAGCGUAAUUUUUUUUAGAGUUCUUAUCGAAAGAAAAGAUUGCGACCUCGAUGUUGGAUUAAAAUUAAUUAUUGGUGUAGAAGCUGAUACUGUUUAGGUCUGUUCGACCUUUAAAUUUUUACAUGAUCUGAGUUUAAACCGGUGUAAG